RNAcentral lists this unclassified non-coding RNA (549 nucleotides) under Neodiprion pinetum (white pine sawfly). RNAcentral's name for it is "acanthoscurrin-1-like, transcript variant X3". The record is from RNAcentral. Lineage: Eukaryota; Metazoa; Arthropoda; Insecta; Hymenoptera; Diprionidae.
CGAAAUCACACUAAACAACGAAUUGCGGAACCGUCGUUAAAUGGAGUGGUAAAAAAAAACUUUGAGUCACGAACCAGAUAUUAUUUUACGUUUAUUGAGUGAUACGGAAAGGUGUCCAUUUUUACAAUCACUCUCGGACUUGAGGCAAUCUUUCGGAAGUAAUUUGGGGGUAGUCUGGACGGUAUAAAUACCGAAUCUCCGGCCAACGUACGACACUGACUCACUUCUUCCGAAGUACCUCAACACUCUCAACAUGAAGGUUGUCGCAUCCCUCGUCUUUGCCGUCUUGGUGAUCGCCCAACUCUACACCAUGAUCGAGGCUAAGCCCGAUCCCAGUAACAUCGUCUAUCUUGCGCCUGGUGGCAAGUGAAUGCGUAAGCCUGUAACUUCGAACGGUAAUUGGUCUUGAACGUGGACUAUAAUUAAAAAUGUCAAUCUACUUGAGUCCAGUUGUCUCGAAAUAAGUGACGUUCACAUCCAGCCGCGAAGACCAACUGCGUAUAAAAUAAUCAUGUAACUCUUGGAAUCAAUAAAAUACUUUUUGCUCUC